UGGAUCUAUGGGGAUACAUGUGGGUCCAUGGGGAUACAAGUGGAUCUAUGGGGAUCCAUGGGGAUACAAGUGGAUCUAUGGGGAUCCAUGGGGAUACAAGUGGAUCUAUGGGGAUACAUGUGGGUCCAUGGGGAUACAUGUGGAUCUAUGGGGAUCUAUGGGGGUCCAUGGGGAUACAAGUGGAUCUAUGGGGAUCUAUGGGGGUCCAUGGGGAUACAUGUGGAUCUAUGGGGAUCCAUGGGGACACAUGUGGAUCUAUGGGGGUCCAUGGGGACACAUGUGGAUCUAUGGGGAUCCAUGGGGACACAUGUGGAUCCAUGGGGACACAUGUGGAUCUAUGGGGAUCUAUGGGGAUCUAUGGGGGUCCAUGGGGACACAUGGGGGUCCCUGGGGAUCCAUGGGCAUCUAUGGGGACACAUGUGGAUCUAUGGGGAUCCAUGGGGUCCAUGGGGAUACAAGUGGAUCCAUGGGGUCCAUGGGGACACAUGUGGAUCCAUGUGGAUCUAUGUGGAUCCAUGGUGUCCCUGUGUGCCCCUAUAUCUCACCAGGGCUGCGCAGGAUGGCCGACAGCGCGGAGGUGCUGGAGUGCCCAAACAGCCUCUCGUGCAUGAGCUGCCGCUGCCGCGCCUCCUGCUCCCUGCGCAGCGCCUGCGCCUCGGCCGCGAUGUCGGGCGGCAUCACCGCCAGCACGCUGUCCUCCAUGUCCUCCAGCACCGAGCGCCGCAGCUCCGACGGCAGCGUCUGGAUGAACGUCACCGGGUCCAUGGGGGCGUCGGAGCUGGUGGCCUGAGCCAGCUCCCGGCGCUGCUGCUCCGCGCGCUGCUGGGCCAGCACCUCAAGGGGGGACGGGCACGGGUUAGGCCACACCCACCCUCAUUAAGCCCCUCCCCCCUCAUUAAGACACGCCCAUCAUUAAGCCCCUCCCCUCAUUAAGCCACGCCCAUCAUUAAAGCCCCCCAUUAAGCCACGCCCAUCAUUAAGCCCCUCCCCCUCAUUAAGCCACGCCCCCUCAUUAAGCCACGCCCCCCUCAUUAAGCCACGCCUUCCCUCAUUAAGCCAC
Molecule: long non-coding RNA, 1060 nt
Filed under: Coturnix japonica (Japanese quail)
Lineage: Eukaryota; Metazoa; Chordata; Aves; Galliformes; Phasianidae
Description: lncRNA (ENSCJPG00005002103.1)
Source: RNAcentral